UACGUAGGGGGCGAGCGUUAUCCGGAUUUACUGGGUGUAAAGGGAGCGUAGACGGCCAGACAAGUCUGAAGUGAAAAUCCAGCGCUUAACGCUGGAAGUGCUUUGGAAACUGCCGGGCUGGAGUGCAGGAGGGGCAGGCGGAAUUCCUAGUGUAGCGGUGAAAUGCGUAGAUAUUAGGAGGAACACCAGUGGCGAAGGCGGCCUGCUGGACUGCAACUGACGUUGAGGCUCGAAGGCGUGGGGAGCAAACAGG
Molecule: ribosomal RNA, 253 nt
Filed under: uncultured bacterium
Lineage: Bacteria
Description: partial 16S ribosomal RNA
Rfam family: Bacterial small subunit ribosomal RNA
Source: RNAcentral